This 500-nucleotide ribosomal RNA is filed under the name uncultured bacterium. Its description in RNAcentral is "partial 16S ribosomal RNA". It matches the Rfam family "Bacterial small subunit ribosomal RNA", at positions 30 to 523 of the family's 1533-position model. The record is from RNAcentral.
AUUGAACGCUGGCGGAAUGCUUUACACAUGCAAGUCGAACGGCAGCACGGACUUCGGUCUGGUGGCGAGUGGCGAACGGGUGAGUAAUGUAUCGGAACGUGCCCAGUCGAGGGGGAUAACGUAGUGAAAAUUACGCUAAUACUGCAUACGAUCUAUGGAUGAAAGCGGGGGAUCGCAAGACCUCGCGCGAUUGGAGCGGGCGAUAUCAGAUUAGGUAGUUGGUGGGGGAAAGGCCCACCAAUCCAACGAGCUGUAGCUGGUCUGAGAGGACGACCAGCCACACUGGAACUGAGACACGGUCCAGACGCCUACGGGAGGCAGCAGUUGGGAAUUUUGGACAAUGGGCGAAAGCCUGAUCCAGCCAUUCCGCGUUCAGGAUGAAGGCCCUCGGGUUGUAAACUGCUUUUGUACAGAACGAAAAGGUUUCUACUAAUACUAGGAGCUCAUGACGGUACUGUAAGAAUAAGCACCGGCUAACUACGUGCCAGCCGCCGCAGUAA